UUGAUAUUAUUAUUUGUUUUUAGGGUUCUCUGUUUUUGGGGAUGUUGUGGGUGUAAGUUUGUUGUCUCCCCAAUUUUUUUGGGGUCUGUUUGGCCUCACGUUGCAGCAUUUGUAUCUCUUUUGCCUAAUAUUUCACACGUCUUCUGCAAAUAUUUUAUAUUGAUACAUAUUUUCCCAUAUAAAAAAAAUCAUGAUACGUUUACCGUUCAAAUCAAAUUUGAUUGUCUAUUUUAGUUUUGUUGUCCUUGCUUUGAUAAAUGGUCUAUGGUGGAUUAUCAUUCGAAAAUGA
This 289-nucleotide long non-coding RNA is filed under the name Medicago truncatula (barrel medic). Its description in RNAcentral is "lncRNA gene20086". The record is from RNAcentral. Lineage: Eukaryota; Viridiplantae; Streptophyta; Magnoliopsida; Fabales; Fabaceae.